Long non-coding RNA from Gadus morhua (Atlantic cod), 1863 nucleotides. RefSeq lists it as uncharacterized. Lineage: Eukaryota; Metazoa; Chordata; Actinopteri; Gadiformes; Gadidae. The transcript has 3 exons. The record is from RefSeq and is a predicted model, not a curated record.
CUCCAAAUGCCAGCUGCUUUGUUCAUUGUGGAAUGAGGUGUAGUUAAAUGUGUUUGUGUUUUGGAAAGGUAUUGCAUUACCUUACUCUCCACCUUUUGCUUUGGUAAUCAGUAAUCAGUAAUUCAGUAAUCAUCUCACUAAGUAUGCCUUUUCAUUUCCAAUCUGUUCAACAGAGUUAACAAGUCAGACCACCACUCCUCCGUCAACUUCGCCCACAUCUCUGCCAGUACCACCCCAGCAAGAUUUUUACAGACUUGUUCUGCAGCACCUCCGCACAAUUGAGGAGGAGCUGAAGGAGGUGAAGCAGCAGGUGGCGGUCAACACAGCCAUGAUACAGAGACUAGGUGGUGGUGGUGUGGCAGAUCUCGGCCUUGUGGAAGACACCAACAUGCCAUUGAGCAAUGCCGAGGACCUGGACGAGCUGGAGAGGCGGCUUAUAUCUGAUGUGGACCUAAAAAAUCAACUGGUGAACAUACUUGCUAUUUUGGGAGGGAAAACCACCAAAGACGCAGUGAAGAGGAUGCUGGGCCGGGCUUUCAGGACGUCCCUGGCGCUCCAAAUUAAUUGGACUGGCGCAGCUGGAAAGAUCGCUUUUAAGUCCCUAAACCUGAAGAGUGUGUUGCACAGUAAGUGAUUUUGUGAAACUAUUGUGAAUGUGUUCAAGUAUAUAACCCCUGGCAAAAAAAAAGCAUUUUGUGAGGGCACGCAUACACAUUGAUGAAGGCAGACAUGGAAGUGCUGAACAUUAAAACUGAACUUUAUUUAACUACUGCAUCCUAUUAUACAUGUAGGCUGUCUGCGUAUCUUUGCGGUACAGAAGAGUGUUGAAUGGGGAGUUUAUAUAGCCCCCGCCUAAACGCAUGGCAUUAUGGGGAAGUGAAGUUUAUAUACACUACAUGGGUUCUACAUUUUUGUUUUCUCCCAGCUGCGCGACACUAGCUGCGCACAACUCAACCUCUGAUUGUUGGAAACCGCUGUCGGUCAAAAAAUUAGCUUACGUGGUUGGCUGCUGGUGUCUUGCCCCUCCUCACAACACUGUGUUUAUAAACACGUGAAUCCAUGUAUAUUCUUCCAUACACAACAUCUCACUUACUCUUUGUUUUACUACAGGAGCCGUUCGGAGAGUGGUAACCACAGCCACUGAAGAGGAGCUUCAAAAAGAAGUCUCCCUGUAUUUGAAGGGGGCGGCUGACAGGGAGGGAGGGAGAAAAGACAGGCAGAAAAGGGUGGGGGAUGGGGAGUGUUGAGCCCAUGUUGGCCAUAUGCUUAUGAAAUAAACAAAAUGUAUUGAACCUAAUAGCCUAUGUGUGGUGAGUCUGUGUAAUAGUUGCUGAGGAUAUAUGUUUUUGUACUGGAUUACUAAAUUAUAGAACACAUUAAAAGGUUUCUCAUCAGCAGGCUGUCUUUACCUUGGUAAAUUUUGGUAACUUUGGUAAGCCCAGUAAAUAAUUGUAAUUUUUUUGAUUGAGGGCAAAUGGAAAGUGUUGUAAUGUAUUAAAUUACUAUUUUAGUACAUCAUUUGAAUUAUUAUGGCCAUAAAUAAGACCAUAAAGGCCAUAAAUAAGGCCAAUUCGAAGCUGGUGGCCCACCAUCGGUUCUCUGGUGGUUCGCCGGCGGCUCAAAAGCGGCACAAGGGCGGCCCUUUAUCUGCAGCCGCUUUUGAGCCGCCGACGGACCACCAGAGAACCGAUGAGCAAAACUCCAGCGGGCCACCGGUGGGUACCGCCGUUGGACCGCCAACUCUGCCGCUGGUGGGCCGCCAGUGGGCCGCUAACCUAAUGCUAUCUGGGAUACAUCACGUCUUUUUAGGUUUGGCGUGGACGCGCACAACCCUGUGUUGUUAACCAACCCCGAGUUGAUUUG